CUCAGAUUGAACGCUGGCGGCAGGCUUAACACAUGCAAGUCGAGCGGUAACAUCUAGCUUGCUAGAAGAUGACGAGCGGCGGACGGGUGAGUAAUGCUUGGGAAUAUGCCUUUACGUGGGGGACAACAGUUGGAAACGACUGCUAAUACCGCAUAAUGUCUUCGGACCAAAGGAGGGGACUCUUCGGAGCCUUUCGCGUAAAGAUUAGCCCAAGUGGGAUUAGCUAGUUGGUGGGGUAAUGGCUCACCAAGGCGACGAUCCCUAGCUGGUUUGAGAGGAUGAUCAGCCACACUGGGACUGAGACACGGCCCAGACUCCUACGGGAGGCAGCAGUGGGGAAUAUUGCACAAUGGGCGAAAGCCUGAUGCAGCCAUGCCGCGUGUGUGAAGAAGGCCUUCGGGUUGUAAAGCACUUUCAGUCGUGAGGAAGGGGUAGUAAUUAAUACUUGCUAUCUUUGACGUUAGCGACAGAAGAAGGACCGGCUAACUCCGUGCCAGCAGCCGCGGUAAUAC
Molecule: ribosomal RNA, 512 nt
Filed under: marine sediment bacterium ISA-3233
Lineage: Bacteria
Description: bacterial SSU rRNA
Rfam family: Bacterial small subunit ribosomal RNA
Source: RNAcentral